Molecule: ribosomal RNA, 497 nt
Filed under: uncultured bacterium
Lineage: Bacteria
Description: partial 16S ribosomal RNA
Rfam family: Bacterial small subunit ribosomal RNA
Source: RNAcentral
GAUGAACGCUGGCGGCGUGCCUAAUACAUGCAAGUAGAACGCUGAAGCUUGGUGCUUGCACCGAGCGGAUGAGUUGCGAACGGGUGAGUAACGCGUAGGUAACCUGCCUCUUAGCGGGGGAUAACUAUUGGAAACGAUAGCUAAUACCGCAUAAAAGUCGAUAUCGCAUGAUAUUGAUUUGAAAGGUGCAAAUGCAUCACUAAGAGAUGGACCUGCGUUGUAUUAGCUAGUUGGUGAGGUAACGGCUCACCAAGGCGACGAUACAUAGCCGACCUGAGAGGGUGAUCGGCCACACUGGGACUGAGACACGGCCCAGACUCCUACGGGAGGCAGCAGUAGGGAAUCUUCGGCAAGGGGGGCAACCCUGACCGAGCAACGCCGCGUGAGUGAAGAAGGUUUUCGGAUCGUAAAGCUCUGUUGUAAGAGAAGAACGAGUGUGAGAGUGGAAAGUUCACACUGUGACGGUAACUUACCAGAAAGGGACGGCUAACUACGUG